This 962-nucleotide long non-coding RNA is filed under the name Homo sapiens (human). RNAcentral's name for it is "HSALNT0277675". The record is from RNAcentral. Lineage: Eukaryota; Metazoa; Chordata; Mammalia; Primates; Hominidae.
AUCAAGUCGCUGGCAAGAAGCUCUCCGGAAACUGAAUUUACUCACCAGCAUUGGAACAUUCCAUCUGCUGAGUCACACUCACUUCUCUUAUCAUCAUUAACCCUGCGUAGGGGCUCCUGGCGCCAGAAGGAGCAACCCAAAGCUCUUCGUCUUGGGGGCUGGGGAGGAAGAUGGUGCACCCUGGACAACCCUCAGAGGAGGAGAAAAUCACCGGCUCCCAAUUUGGGCAGCGAAUCAGAAGCAGCAUGGAUUCACUGCCUUUUGAAAUAGUGAAACUACCGUCAUUGGAGAAAGGCGAACUGUGGUUAGGCGACCUGGGAUUCCUCCGCUGGGAGAGAGGUUGAACUAGGUGAACUUGAAGGUUUCAUGCAAGGAAAGAGAAGUUAGCUGAUAUUUAUGUAGACCAGCUUCUAGAUUGACACUAAGUACAAAGCUAAUGUGUAUUUACUAUGGCUUUAAUCUAUACUGAUUAAGAAUGUCUCAUUUAUUCACCUGCACCUCAUGUUUUACUUGGCAUGUAUCUUUAUUAUAGUUAAUAUAAAUAUCACAUUAGCUGCUUACAGAACAUAUAGAAUUUGCUGUCCUGAGUUUAUUUACAAGUUAGUACCUCAUUUAUGAGACUUUUUACCCCUUGAGAACAUCCGCCUUCUUCUUGAAAACUGUGACUGGUUCAUUAUAAACAUAUAUUCGUAUAAUGGAGUUAAUGGGGUUAUCAUCUGUUUAUCUCUUUUAAUUAGGCCCUGAUUUGCCCAAACAAUUUCAGUUACUUUCUUGAUUACAGUUGGAGGAGCAUGUGGUUUGGUGUGGGCUUGGUAAAGAGCUGCUGUCUGCUUCUCUAAAUCCACGUAUAGUAUCAUAUGUUCAGGCUGAGUUAAUAUUUGAUAUGUGAGUUGUUCCCUUAUCUUGUUAGAUACUCUUGAUAAAAGAAUUCCCACUCAUGAAUUUUCAUGGAUAUACCUCUG